UGCAAGGUAAGUGUAAUGUGAGUCCUAGCUUUAAUGUUUCUGACUUGGUGCCGUAUAUUGUAGAUCAAACGGAUUUGAGGUCAAAUCCUUUUCAAGAGGGAGGGGAUGAUAUGAUCAUGGAAAGCACAAAGGACAUGGAACGUGAUAAAGAGCUUGUAGCCGAGGAGGAGCUUGAAGCAGAGGAGCCGCUUGAACCUGAGGAGUAUUUUGAACCAGAAAGUGAGCUCGUACCGGAGAAAGAGUAUGGAAAAGAUGUUAUCUUAACCUCACUGGUUUUGAUAAAUGAUCAUCAAAUGGGCAUGUGUCUCAUUUGU
This 314-nucleotide long non-coding RNA is filed under the name Arabidopsis lyrata. Its description in RNAcentral is "long non-coding RNA (ALYR_LNC001682)". Lineage: Eukaryota; Viridiplantae; Streptophyta; Magnoliopsida; Brassicales; Brassicaceae. The record is from RNAcentral.